Molecule: long non-coding RNA, 2251 nt
Organism: Papaver somniferum (opium poppy)
Lineage: Eukaryota; Viridiplantae; Streptophyta; Magnoliopsida; Ranunculales; Papaveraceae
Exons: 3
Source: RefSeq, a predicted model, not a curated record
GUUUCUAUUCUUGAAGCUCUGCAAAAAUGGCGAUUGAGUAAAGAAUGAUAGAUUUCGAGUGAAUUUUCUCAUCAACAGUGAGGGUUUUGUUAACAUAGUUCGUGUUAGGUUUGUUUUGAUGCUUACUGAGAUUGAGAAAGAGAUGGAGAUACAUGGUAGAUAAAUCGAUAUUUGUGGUAAGAUGAUUGAUGGGUUGUAUGAAUUAAUGGUCUGAGUUAACUUCUGGUUUUGUUGAUUGAUACUGCAAUGUGUAAGGAAGAGAUGAAUAGUCUAUAGUCUGAUUGUGGAUGAACUCUAGUUGUGUUUUUGUGAAGAUUUUCGAGCAAAUCAGGUAACUGUUUGUUGAAUAUUGGGUAUGUUUUGAUUGUUUGUAGUGGUUUUUUAACAAUUUUAGGGAUUUUUUUUCAUAAACUCCAAUUAGGGAAAGGGGGUAUUUUGUAUUUUAUCUGAUGUUCUCUGCUGAUUGGAGUUGAUGUUCUUUAUGGGUAUUUGAGGAGACUCCAGACAUGAAUUCAAUACAGCUGAAGGUGAAGCAACAUGAAUGGAUUCUGGGUAGGGCUUGAUGGAAUUGAUUUGGAGUUGUUGUUGGUGAUUGUAAGAAAAUAAAAGAUGAACUGAAGUACUGAAGCUGGUACUGUUACUGUGUUUGGAGGUGGUGAUGUUCUUUGAGCUAUUGAAGUAUGCUAGUGAUGAAAAGAGAAGGUGUUGGUGGUUGGAGUUGUGAGAGAUUCAGAUGGUGCUAUUGAGUCUGUUGGAUUCAGGGACAAAGAUGGUUGUUGUGUGGUGUUUGAUACAGAAACUAAGAUGGUGGUGUUGUUUAGGUGAAAUUGCAGGAGAUGGAGUGGAGGUGUGGAUUGGUGUGAUGAAUGGAAGAGAGAAAGGACUACAACAAAUGAAUGAGUUUAAGGCUAGAUGUAUGGUAUGGAUUUGAAGCUGUAAACUGAUGGGUUGGAGGAAUUGAAAUUAUGAAGAAGGGGUAUGAGUUCAUGGAAGAGAUAGAUGCAGUUGCAAGGUGUACGUUAGAUUUUGCCAGUAGAAAUUUAUAAAAUUAUAAUCUAAAAGGGUAUAUUAAAUUUUGAAUUUUAGUAAGUUCAAUUUGAUUAUACAGUAGUAUUGAGGUUCAUUUGAUGCUGGAAAAUGGAGUUUUCAUUUGAAUUCAUGUUUACAGUUCUUGUUAUUUUAUCAAGUUUUGACAGGAAAUUUUGUUUGAAAUUGAUUAUAGCCUUCAUUUUGAUUAUAUGAGAACACAAACAUUUUUAUUGGUUUCAAUUUGUAAAGUGUUCAAUUUUGAUAGUGGGGGUGCAACAUUGAGGUUGCUGAGUAGUUUGUAGUGCAAAUAGUUGUUGAAAUGACGAAUUGGAAGAUAAAGAUAAGUUUGUUGCAGGAGUUCUUGCUACAUGGGGCUUGCUUGAGAAGUGGCCGAGAAGCUCCAGAUAUGAAUCGUGAGGGAGAACUCGUUGAUGACUUAAGAGCUGAAGUGAUGGAUGAGCUUUUAAGGGGACGGAAUGAGUUUGAUCAAUGAUGGGUUAAGUUAAUUGAGCUGAUAGGAGUUGCAGCGGCAACCUGAUCCAGUAUGCAAAAUAGUGGUUGAACUAGUUGAUUCUGAGAAGAUUAUGGGAUUUCAGAGAAUGGUGUUGAUGGUCAAGAAGAAGCUGUUACGGCAAUGGAUGUGUGCAAUUUUAGAUGGCUCAAAUGUCAUUGUUUGAGAAUGUGCAGGAGCUGAAAUGCUUGUGGAAGGGAUAUAGAGCAAAAUGAGCCAGUCUGCUAGGUGCUGGUUACAAGAUGCCACCACGUCAGCGAUUGGUUAACUGUGGUUAACAUUCACUUGAGUUAAGAGUGAGGGUAUUUUGGGGACAACUAACCCCGUUUUUUUGGAGAACUGUUAUGUCGGACCAAGUAGGAUCAUUUUGUAACCAAUUUACAAAAGUAUGAUCAGUUUGUAACUGAAUUAUAAAAAGUAUGAUCAUUUUGUAAAUGGCCGUAUGUAUAAUCAGCAGUCUCACUUUACUAAAUUUGCUAUCUAAUGAUUCGUACACCUAUUAGCUGAAAAGUAACAUUGUACGAAUCUUUCCUAGGGGUGGGCUUCUUGUCUUUACGCUUUUUAUUCUUGUAUCCUUUUGGAAAAGUUACUUGAUUAGUUAUUGAUAUCUAAUAUCAAUAUCAUUAUGUAAGUCAUUAUGUAAGGGAAGAAAAGGUGUCUAAUGUACAGUGAUCUAAAAGAAAUGGGACGGAGAUUAAAAGAAAACACUAA